UACAGAGGUCCCGAGCGUUGUUCGGAUUCACUGGGCGUAAAGGGUGCGUAGGUGGUUGGGUAAGUCUGAUGUGAAAUCUCCGGGCUCAACCCGGAAAUGGCAUUGGAUACUAUUCGGCUAGAGGUUUGGAGGGGGGACUGGAAUUCUCGGUGUAGCAGUGAAAUGCGUAGAUAUCGAGAGGAACACCAGUGGCGAAGGCGGCGAUCUGGGUCGAUACUGACGCUGAGGUGCGAAAGCGUGGGGAGCAAACAGG
This 253-nucleotide ribosomal RNA is filed under the name uncultured bacterium. Its description in RNAcentral is "partial 16S ribosomal RNA". It matches the Rfam family "Bacterial small subunit ribosomal RNA", at positions 524 to 776 of the family's 1533-position model. The record is from RNAcentral.